UGGGGGAUAUUGCACAAUGGGCGAAAGCCUGAUGCAGCGACGCCGCGUGGAGGAUGAAGGCUUUCGGGUUGUAAACCUCUUUCGCUAUCGAACAAGGCCCGCUUAGGGUGGGGUGAGGGUAGGUGGAGAAGAAGCGCCGGCUAACUACGUGCCAGCAGCCGCGGUAAUACGUAGGGCGCGAGCGUUGUCCGGAAUUAUUGGGCGUAAAGGGCUUGUAGGCGGCUUGUUGCGCCUGCUGUGAAAACGCGGGGCUUAACUUCGCGCGUGCAGUGGGUACGGGCAGGCUUGAGUGUGGUAGGGGUGACUGGAAUUCCAGGUGUAGCGGUGGAAUGCGCAGAUAUCUGGAGGAACACCGAUGGCGAAGGCAGGUCACUGGGCCAUUACUGACGCUGAGGAGCGAAAGCAUGGGUAGCGAACAGG
This 420-nucleotide ribosomal RNA is filed under the name bacterium. RNAcentral's name for it is "partial 16S ribosomal RNA". It matches the Rfam family "Bacterial small subunit ribosomal RNA", at positions 355 to 776 of the family's 1533-position model. The record is from RNAcentral.